GAUCCUGGCUCAGAGUGAACGCUGGCGGCGUGCCUAAUACAUGCAAGUCGAACGGAGAUUAAGUAGCUUGCUAUUUAAUCUUAGUGGCGCACGGGUGAGUAAUAUAUAGCUAACUUGCCCAUUACUAAGGGACAACAGUUGGAAACGACUGCUAAUACCUUAUACUCCGUAUCUAUAUAAGUAGAUACGGGAAAGUUUUUCGGUAAUGGAUAGGGCUAUAUCGUAUCAGCUAGUUGGUAAGGUAAUGG
Molecule: ribosomal RNA, 248 nt
Filed under: uncultured bacterium
Lineage: Bacteria
Description: partial 16S ribosomal RNA
Rfam family: Bacterial small subunit ribosomal RNA
Source: RNAcentral